GCGGGUAUAGCUCAGUGGUUAGAGUGGGAUCUUGCCAAGAUUCAAGCCGUGCGUUCAAAUCGCAUUAACCCGCA
This 74-nucleotide transfer RNA is filed under the name Polytoma uvella. Its description in RNAcentral is "tRNA-Gly". It matches the Rfam family "tRNA". From Rfam's summary of the family: Transfer RNA (tRNA) molecules are approximately 80 nucleotides in length. Their secondary structure includes four short double-helical elements and three loops (D, anti-codon, and T loops). Lineage: Eukaryota; Viridiplantae; Chlorophyta; Chlorophyceae; Chlamydomonadales; Chlamydomonadaceae. The record is from RNAcentral.